RNAcentral lists this ribosomal RNA (460 nucleotides) under uncultured bacterium. RNAcentral describes it as "partial 16S ribosomal RNA". It matches the Rfam family "Bacterial small subunit ribosomal RNA", at positions 338 to 795 of the family's 1533-position model. The record is from RNAcentral.
CCUACGGGUGGCAGCAGUGCGGAAUAUUGGUCAAUGGCCGGAAGGCUGAACCAGCCAUGCCGCGUGAAGGUCAGUGCCCUCUUGGCGUUAAACUUCUUUUGUGCGUGAGCAAUAAUGGUCACGUGUGGCCAGACGAGAGUACCGUACGAAUAAGCAUCUGCUAACUCCGUGCCAGCAGCUGCGGUAAUACGGGGGAUGCAAGCGUUAUCCGGAUUUAUUGGGUUUAAAGGGUGCGUAGGCGGUGAGGUAAGUCAGCGGUGAAAUGCCCCCGCUCAACGGGGUGAAGUGCCAUUGAUACUGCCUGGCUGGAAUGCGGAUGCCGUGGGAGGAAUGUGUGGUGUAGCGGUGACAUGCAUAGAGAUCACACAGAACACCGAUUGCGAAGGCAUCUCACGAAUCCGCGAUUGACGCUGAUGCACGAAAGCGUGGGUAUCAAACAGGAUGAGAUACCCUAGUAGUC